RNAcentral lists this ribosomal RNA (690 nucleotides) under Triticum aestivum (bread wheat). RNAcentral describes it as "partial small subunit ribosomal RNA". Lineage: Eukaryota; Viridiplantae; Streptophyta; Magnoliopsida; Poales; Poaceae. The record is from RNAcentral.
AUGGCGCAGGUGAGACACCCCACGCUACUACUACCCCGAUCCACUCGCACCACCGAACUCUCUCGUGAAUUCCUCAAAAAAGAACUCUCGCGACCUCACCCCCACCCCUGUGUCGACCUCCUCUCCCCCACGAUCUCCUCCCCGCCGCCACCACCCACGCCCGCCAGUUCCUCGCCGGCCACGCUCCUCCGCCGGGCGCUCCAGCUCCGCCGCGCCAUCCCCUUUCCAGCUUCCUCGCGCGCGAUCCUCUCCGCGGCCUCCAGCCGCCUCCUCUCCGUCACCGCCUCCACCGAGCAGAACACCGCCGACACCGCCAUCGACCUCUCCAACGAAGAGAGCCGCCGCCGCCUCGUCAACAGUAUGAUGUACAGGAGCAAGCAGAGGGGCUUCCUGGAGCUCGGGACCUGGGUGGAGCAGGACGUCCGCUCCAUGGACGAGGCCAACAUCCGCUCCCUGCUCCAGAUCCUCGACCUCAAGAGGCUGCUGAAGGGCACACUCAAGAACAUGGGACUGCUUCAGAACAAGAAGCAUGUGCAAGUCUGGUGUAGACAAACAAGACAUCUGGACGAGAAGAAAAAGAAGUGCAAGGCUGGUAAGGUCGAGACUCAUCUUGAAUUCCCUGGACGUGAAAAGGUUAAAUUUGGUGAAGUUGUCGAAGCUCCACCAAAGUUAUCAUUCCCAAAGAGGUGA